ACGGGGGGGGCAAGCGUUGUUCGGAAUUAUUGGGCGUAAAGGGCGUGUAGGCGGUGCGGUAAGUCUUCUGUGAAAUCUCCGGGCCUAACCCGGAAAGUGCAGAGGGGACUGCUCGGCUAGAGGAUGGGAGAGGAGCGCGGAAUUCCCGGUGUAGCGGUGAAAUGCGUAGAGAUCGGGAGGAAGGCCGGUGGCGAAGGCGGCGCUCUGGAACAUUUCUGACGCUGAGGCUCGAAAGCGUGGGGAGCAAACAGGA
RNAcentral lists this ribosomal RNA (253 nucleotides) under uncultured prokaryote. RNAcentral describes it as "partial 16S ribosomal RNA". It matches the Rfam family "Bacterial small subunit ribosomal RNA", at positions 525 to 777 of the family's 1533-position model. The record is from RNAcentral.